AUCCAUGCCAUGCUUCUUUCAAGUCCCAGAAACGAUCCCAAAGAAAUAACUCACUCCAGGGUUGCAUCUUCAGAGAAGACAAGGGGCCAAAUAUUAACAUGAUUGCAUCCAUUUGGGCCUCAUGCACUUUCCCCAGCCACAGAGGAAAGAAGAAUUUACAUAAUUGUGUGGCCUUCUCUGCUCUCUUCUCCCUGUCCCACCCCAAAGAACAGCUGCAUCCGGAUUUCAUUCCUUCACCCGCUGCUGAGGCUCUUGUGGAUCAAGUUGGUGCCUAAAUGCCUGUUUGCAGCGAUGCUGUAAUUGCUGCUGGAGAAGCCUUUUCGUUGGGGGAGAGGACAAGUAGCAGCACGACAGCUCGGAACAAACCCUCUCCCAUCUUCCCAGGGCACACUUUGUACACCAGAACAGAGAUCCCAGCCCAGAGAUCCCAAGCUCCAGCCCAGAAGGGUCCCAGCCCCACUGCUCCGGCCCCUCCUGCCCCAGCAAAAGGGAGGGAGGUGAAUGAUUAUAGAAGAGCAGGAGACAAACAACAAACAGACAAACGUACAAAUUAUUUUCACAUCCACCUCCUAAUUGCUUGCUAAAAACCCUCUAGGACUGCAGGAUCAAAUGGGACACUUUGCUGGAGCGGGGAUGAGUCACUUGUCAAAAAUUUUCAGCCUCAACAGCAAAUCAGCAGCGCUGGCACAGCGAGGCGUCCUCGAAAUCCAGCCUGGAAUUGUUGGGCAGCUUCUCCAGGGUGGAUCCAGCAAGAACAGAGCUCACAGACGUGAGGAGGGGCUUCAAGAUCUGCUGCUGAUCCUGGAAGUGUCACCUCCACCGAGGUGAGGAGAGACAGCUCAACACAGGCACGAAGCAGAAAUCUGAGCUGGAAAUGAACCCCCCGCUAAAUUUCAGAUGCUCCCACCACAGGUCUGCCUGCAGCACUCGGCCUCGUGGUGAUCACUUACCUUGACAAUGUAACAACCCAGCGCAGUGUAAUUCGGAGAAAAUUGGGUUUAGUCAUAAACUGGAGACAUCAGAGACUCUGCUCUAAAGCGGAAAAAAUAAUAAUAAUAAUAAUAUAUUGGAGGGGGGGGUUGGUUUUUUUACCAGAGAAAAAGUGUUUACCUACAGCAUGUCAAAUUUUAGCCUGCAGCAAAAUGAUUUAUGGACAAAUUCGAAGCUUCUUCGCAGCUGACAAGUUAAUUCUCACUGGGGGGAAAAAAAAAGCAGAAAAAGAGGAAUUAUGACAACACCGAAGAAUGUUAACAUGGUACCUACUCUAAUUGAAUAAAAGACACCUUACAGA
This is a long non-coding RNA of Corvus hawaiiensis (hawaiian crow), 1291 nucleotides long. RefSeq lists it as uncharacterized. The record is from RefSeq and is a predicted model, not a curated record. Lineage: Eukaryota; Metazoa; Chordata; Aves; Passeriformes; Corvidae. The transcript is spliced from 2 exons.